This 634-nucleotide long non-coding RNA is filed under the name Vigna radiata. RNAcentral describes it as "long non-coding RNA (VRAD_LNC011259)". The record is from RNAcentral. Lineage: Eukaryota; Viridiplantae; Streptophyta; Magnoliopsida; Fabales; Fabaceae.
CACGUUUCACAGCCACGCCAACAACCUUCCAAACGCAUCAGCCCAUGCACGAAACCAUCAACGAAUCCUACAACAUUCUCCAACCGAAUCCAUGCCAGGGAGGGGAACAAAUGCAGCUCUAAGGAACCCAAUAUCGCACCCAUCAAGGAAUACACACGUAGAACAUGGCGCCUGCAGAAUAGAAGGAACCGAAUACCAAAGUUGGGAACCAAAUACGCCCUUCUUCUGCAUAAUAAGAACCGAAUAACCCCAACUCGGAACCGAAUACAUGGUUCCAUAUACACUCUUCACACCUCUGGAAUCGAAUACGGGUGGAGGAACCAAAUACACCUCCAAUAAAUUUCGUUCUAGCCACUCUUAUUCAUCUUCUACAUCUUCAAACUCCUCUUCAUCUUCAACCAUCAUCUUCAUAUGGUCAUCAACGGCAUCUACCAUACACAACAUUUCUUCUUCGUGGUCAUCUACAACCUCCAAUGUCAAAAAUUGUGGCAUAUAAAAACUGUGGCAUUUUUAUUAUUAACAAAGGAAUCGAUUAUUUCUUACUGCGAAUACUGCAAUAAAUUAUGUAUUUAAGCUUCUAGACUGGAGCUGGAAUUCUAUAAUAAUUCAAGAGUAAAUAACAUAUUGUACCGUA